Molecule: transfer-messenger RNA, 354 nt
Filed under: Chloroflexota bacterium
Lineage: Bacteria; Bacillati; Chloroflexota
Description: Chloroflexi bacterium (groundwater metagenome) transfer-messenger RNA
Rfam family: transfer-messenger RNA
About the family: Bacterial tmRNA, also known as 10Sa RNA or SsrA, is named for its dual tRNA and mRNA-like properties. Its role is to liberate the mRNA from a stalled ribosome.
Source: RNAcentral
GGGGACGAAAGGGCUCGACAGGGAUCGGCGGGUCUGAGUUGCAGGCGGAGGGCGGCCAUCGACCUCCUUAAUCCAGGUGGCCAACAACAACAGGCGAUCGACAACUCGCCCUCGCUGCCUAGGCAGUGACGUUCAUCCCGCGUCCACCCCCGGCGGGCCGGGAAUGAGCGACGAUUUGACCGGGGCGCUGCGUGCACGACACCGAUACUGCGCGCCUAAGACCAUCGGCUGGCCCUGUCCGCACGGGCUCGCAGCGGACGGAUGGGGCGAGAUCUAACUGACGAGAUAAGCUUGUAGCAUACUCAGGGCGUCGCUCACCUGGACGGGGAGUUCAAUUCUCCCCCGUCUCCACCA